This 434-nucleotide ribosomal RNA is filed under the name uncultured Lachnospiraceae bacterium. RNAcentral describes it as "partial 16S ribosomal RNA". It matches the Rfam family "Bacterial small subunit ribosomal RNA", at positions 341 to 792 of the family's 1533-position model. Lineage: Bacteria; Bacillati; Bacillota; Clostridia; Lachnospirales; Lachnospiraceae. The record is from RNAcentral.
ACGGAAGGCAGCAGUGGGGAAUAUUGGACAAUGGGGGCAACCCUGAUCCAGCGACGCCGCGUGAGUGAAGAAGUAAUUCGUUAUGUAAAGCUCUAUCAGCAGGGACGAUAAUGACGGUACCUGACUAAGAAGCUCCGGCUAAAUACGUGCCAGCAGCCGCGGUAAUACGUAUGGAGCAAGCGUUAUCCGGAUUUACUGGGUGUAAAGGGAGCGUAGGUGGUUUUGUAAGUCAGAAGUGAAAUGCCGGGGCUCAACCCCGGAGCUGCUUUUGAAACUGCGAAACUAGAGUGCAGGAGAGGUAAGUGGAAUUCCUAGUGUAGCGGUGAAAUGCGUAGAUAUUAGGAGGAACACCAGUGGCGAAGGCGGCUUACUGGACGAUAACUGACGUUGAGGCUCGAAAGCGUGGGGAGCAAACAGGAUUAGAUACCCUGGUA